This 35-nucleotide ribosomal RNA is filed under the name Zoanthus vietnamensis. RNAcentral describes it as "partial 18S ribosomal RNA". The record is from RNAcentral. Lineage: Eukaryota; Metazoa; Cnidaria; Anthozoa; Zoantharia; Zoanthidae.
AGGUUUCCGUAGGCGAACCUGCGGAAGGAUCAUUA